GUCUGCUUAGCUUAUGAAUUAAAGCUUUGCUUUGAAGGAGCAACGAAACUAGACUGUAGCAGACA
RNAcentral lists this transfer RNA (65 nucleotides) under Ibidoecus plataleae. Its description in RNAcentral is "tRNA-Phe". The record is from RNAcentral. Lineage: Eukaryota; Metazoa; Arthropoda; Insecta; Psocodea; Philopteridae.